UACGGAGGGUGCAAGCGUUGUUCGGAAUUAUUGGGCGUAAAGGGCAGGUAGGUGGUCUUGUAAGUCUACUGUGAAAUCCCCGAGCUUAACUUGGGAAGUGCGGUGGAUACUGCAAGACUAGAGUGCUGGAGGGGUUCGUGGAAUUCCAGGUGUAGCGGUGAAAUGCGUAGAUAUCUGGAGGAACACCGGUGGCGAAGGCGGCGUUCUGGACUGCAACUGACACUGAGAGACGAAAGCCAGGGGAGCAAACGGG
Molecule: ribosomal RNA, 253 nt
Filed under: uncultured bacterium
Lineage: Bacteria
Description: partial 16S ribosomal RNA
Rfam family: Bacterial small subunit ribosomal RNA
Source: RNAcentral